This 303-nucleotide ribosomal RNA is filed under the name uncultured bacterium. RNAcentral's name for it is "bacterial SSU rRNA". It matches the Rfam family "Bacterial small subunit ribosomal RNA", at positions 355 to 655 of the family's 1533-position model. The record is from RNAcentral.
UGAGGAAUAUUGGUCAAUGGGCGGGAGCCUGAACCAGCCAAGUCGCGUGAGGGAAGACGGUCCUAUGGAUUGUAAACCUCUUUUGUCAGGGAGCAAUUCCCGCCACGUGUGGCGGGAGGGAGAGUACCUGAAGAAAAAGCAUCGGCUAACUCCGUGCCAGCAGCCGCGGUAAUACGGAGGAUGCGAGCGUUAUCCGGAUUUAUUGGGUUUAAAGGGUGCGUAGGCGGAGUGCCAAGUCAGCGGUAAAAAUUCGGGGCUCAACCCCGUCGUGCCGUUGAAACUGGCGCCCUUGAGUGGGCGAGA